AACAUCGCGCACCUGCGGGAACCUGCGGAGGGAUCAUUACAGAGUUGCAAAACUCCCUAAACCAUCGUGAACGUUACCUAAACCGUUGCUUCGGCGGGCGGCCCGGGUCCUUCCCGGCGCCCCUCGGCCCUCGCGGGCGCCCGCCGGAGGUAAACCAAACUAUUGCAUUGUAUGGCCUCUCUGAGUCUUCUGUACUGAAUAAGUCAAAACUUUUAGCAAUGGAUCUCAGAUCGGAAGAGC
Molecule: unclassified non-coding RNA, 240 nt
Filed under: soil metagenome
Description: partial contains 5.8S ribosomal RNA, internal transcribed spacer 2, and large subunit ribosomal RNA
Source: RNAcentral